RNAcentral lists this long non-coding RNA (1168 nucleotides) under Phasianus colchicus (ring-necked pheasant). Its description in RNAcentral is "lncRNA (ENSPCLG00000015394.1)". Lineage: Eukaryota; Metazoa; Chordata; Aves; Galliformes; Phasianidae. The record is from RNAcentral.
GUUUGCCUGUGGCCUUCUAUGGGUGAGCAAGUUCUUUCCUUUGUUUCUGUGUCCAUGGCUGCUCCAUUUGGGCUUGUUCUUACUUGCUGCAGCCUGGGACGUUGCUACCCUGCUGUCAUUGCUGUGCUUUCCAUUGCCUUAUAGUGUUACAUCAAUAUAAUUCAGAAUGUCAUUAGGGCUCGACCUGGCAGUUCCUGUGGCAGAGCUGUGAUGAGCAGGAGUGCUGAGUUGCUUCCCACAGUGCUACACAACACCGUGUUGUACUGCGUGAGGGAAUGUGCUGGGCUCACAGCAGCCUGCAUCCAAGAGAAAGGAAGGGAGCCUUCCCAGUGCUCUGAUACCCAGCAGAUGUGAUGUUACCAGGUCAAGGAUUCGAGAGGAUCAGGCAAUGGAAAAAGCUGUACUCAGAUGAUGCUUUAAAGCUGUAAAGAGGAAGAUGUGAUGGACUGAAUCAUCCUGUGCUCAGCAGCAGGUCUGAGCACUGCUGCACAGCUUUUUCCAAGCUGUGUUGUGUUUGAGUGGUCCUUCGUUGGCUCCUGAAGCUGUUUCUUAGGGCUGCACUAAGCCAUUACAAUUCAUGCAAAUCAAAUCUGCUCAUGGCUUGUUUAUGGCUUGGGCACUGUUUGCAGUGUUUCAGUGCCUCAUUUCUAGGGAGUUGUGAUUCUUUUUCAUCCUUAGAAGCCCACUAGAAAGGCUUUCCCCCCUCUAACCAGGUUCUGUCAAGGUCGGUGACCUGCUAUGAGCCCAAAUAUGAUGCAUGCAAUAUUAAAACCUGACUCUUCAGCUAUGCUGGGAGGAUUUUUUUUUCUAAAGCACUUGUAGUUCAAAAAAUCUGGGGCAAGCCAGGCUGCCAAUUAUUACUGUGCCUUUGUCCUGUGAUCCGGUGACUGAAAAUCUGAAGUAAGAUGUGCUCCAGCUGUGGUUUUGGUGCUGUUUUGGACUCUGUAAGAGAGGUUGAGCCCCGUCUGUAGGUUCAUCCUUUCUGCAGAGCUGGGCAGGGUGCAUCCCUCCUCUUCUCCCAAUUAGCUGUGACAUGAUUUUUUUUUUAAACCACAGCAGCAGAUCCUGGUAUGAAUGAUAUUUAGAGGAUGGGCUGUGCUUUAAUUUUGGUGAUCUCAGCAAUUUGGCUUGAAAGCUGUGUAACAGUCCUGGGUUCUGUACAACCCUC